AAAACUUUCAACAACGGAUCUUUUGGUUCUGGCAUCGAUGAAGAACGCAGCGAAAUGCGAUAAGUAAUGUGAAUUGCAGAAUUCAGUGAAUCAUCGAAUCUUUGAACGCACAUUGCGCCCUCUGGUAUUCCGGGGGGCAUGCCUGUUCGAGCGUCAUUA
RNAcentral lists this ribosomal RNA (159 nucleotides) under Catenulomyces convolutus. RNAcentral describes it as "5.8S ribosomal RNA". It matches the Rfam family "5.8S ribosomal RNA". From Rfam's summary of the family: 5.8S ribosomal RNA (5.8S rRNA) is a component of the large subunit of the eukaryotic ribosome. It is transcribed by RNA polymerase I as part of the 45S precursor that also contains 18S and 28S rRNA. The record is from RNAcentral. Lineage: Eukaryota; Fungi; Ascomycota; Dothideomycetes.